UAUUAUGGUGACCUGGUUAUGG
Molecule: unclassified non-coding RNA, 22 nt
Filed under: Chlamydomonas reinhardtii
Lineage: Eukaryota; Viridiplantae; Chlorophyta; Chlorophyceae; Chlamydomonadales; Chlamydomonadaceae
Description: small RNA Cre_2414
Source: RNAcentral